GCAGUCGAACGGAAAGGCCCUGCUUUUGUGGGGUGCUCGAGUGGCGAACGGGUGAGUAACACGUGAGUAACCUGCCCUUGACUUUGGGAUAACUUCAGGAAACUGGGGCUAAUACCGGAUAGGAGCUCCUGCUGCAUGGUGGGGGUUGGAAAGUUUCGGCGGUUGGGGAUGGACUCGCGGCUUAUCAGCUUGUUGGUGGGGUAGUGGCUUACCAAGGCUUUGACGGGUAGCCGGCCUGAGAGGGUGACCGGCCACAUUGGGACUGAGAUACGGCCCAGACUCCUACGGGAGGCAGCAGUGGGGAAUAUUGCACAAUGGGCGGAAGCCUGAUGCAGCAACGCCGCGUGCGGGAUGACGGCCUUCGGGUUGUAAACCGCUUUCGCCUGUGACGAAGCGUGAGUGACGGUAAUGGGUAAAGAAGCACCGGCUAACUACGUGCCAGCAGCCGCGGUGAUACGUAGGGUGCGAGCGUUGUCCGGAUUUAUUGGGCGUAAAGGGCUCGUAGGUGGUUGAUCGCGUCGGAAGUGUAAUCUUGGGGCUUAACCCUGAGCGUGCUUUCGAUACGGGUUGACUUGAGGAAGGUAGGGGAGAAUGGAAUUCCUGGUGGAGCGGUGGAAUGCGCAGAUAUCAGGAGGAACACCAGUGGCGAAGGCGGUUCUCUGGGCCUUUCCUGACGCUGAGGAGCGAAAGCGUGGGGAGCGAACAGGCUUAGAUACCCUGGUAGUCCACGCUGUAAACGGUGGGUACUAGGUGUGGGGUCCAUUCCACGGGUUCCGUGCCGUAGCUAACGCUUUAAGUACCCCGCCUGGGGAGUACGGCCGCAAGGCUAA
This 830-nucleotide ribosomal RNA is filed under the name uncultured bacterium. Its description in RNAcentral is "bacterial SSU rRNA". It matches the Rfam family "Bacterial small subunit ribosomal RNA", at positions 57 to 897 of the family's 1533-position model. The record is from RNAcentral.